Pongo pygmaeus (Bornean orangutan) is the source of this 2462-nucleotide long non-coding RNA. RefSeq lists it as uncharacterized. Lineage: Eukaryota; Metazoa; Chordata; Mammalia; Primates; Hominidae. The transcript is spliced from 3 exons. The record is from RefSeq and is a predicted model, not a curated record.
AAGAUGAUGAGGAUGAAGACCUUCAUGGUGAUCCACUUCCACUUAAUGAAUAGAAGAUCGUCCUGACUUUCCACAAUCCCGAAGGCUCUGCUUUGCCUUUCUGCAUCUAACUUUCCUGCCUUCUGCCUCCAUCUUCUACAAGCCCAGGCUUGGAAGCAGAAUCACAAGGAAAUUGCUGCAAUUCCACAGUACAGAAAAGCUUCAAAGGAAAGCCACAUCUCCCAGAUCUAGCGGUGGAGCCCGGUUGGCAGGAAAUGUUUCUCCAGAAGCUGAGAAGCUGCCUGGUAAAGGCCUUUCAUAAAAUGGUCUGUGUUUGGGACCAGGAAGACAGAAUACUCCUCAAGAAGAGAACUGGAACCUUAACCCACUUCAGACUUCUUCAUGUCUGAAGCUUAUUUCCACCAUCCCAUUGAGAACCAAAGAAGCGAGCUCCUUGGAGAAUUGGCUCCCACCUGGACCUUCUGUUUAUCCUUCCAAUAGCAGCUGCAUUCAUCCUUCCCAGCUAAUGACACUUCCAGUCUUUCGUGUUUCAAAGUAUCACGGACUUUGCAAAAGAUACCAGGUUUCUAUGGAGCAGAUAGUACUUUUAACAAUCGCCAUGUGCAUUAUUAUUUCCUCCUAAGGCAUACUUAGACAUCAGUGCAUGCUACAGCAAGGCAACUUAUCUCACCCUUACCAAGGUAUGAACUUCGGAAUUUGAACUUGUUCCUUUGGGGUAAGUUGUAUCACCAGCACUCACUAACAGACUGUAUUUUCCAGUGAGGUUUCAUUCUGUUUCAGAUAUUCUGCACUUUCAGUGACAAAAUUUUAAAGAAAAGGAGAUAAAAUAGAACACAAAUUCAAUAUGACUAUUGUCAUCCUUCCCUCCCAGGAAGUGUAGGAAUCAUCCAAAGUGGUAAAAGAGCAGCGCUUCUAAACUCUGGCUUCACAUGGAAAAUAACGCGACUACUAAAACUGAUAACAAUAGCAGUCCAUGCCGUUUGACAGGGGUGUGUAGGAGAGGUGGUGAGCAAGCUGAAAUCCCUUCAGGUAUUUGCAGAACUUCUGAGCAAAAGCUAAAGCUAAAAUUAACAUUAAAUAUGCAAAGUAUUUUUAACCCAACAUAAAUUAACAAUGUUCCUAUUUCAAUUCUAUUGCUCUUGGGAUGACUAUGUCCUUUGGAAAAUGUUUAAAUAACUUAAGAUUUCCGUCAUGAGUUUACUAUUUCAAAACUUAUUUUUUUAACUGCAAGAUACCUUUUUAUGUUACCAAGAGUGUUACCAGCUAGCUGCCAAAACUUGGUUGAAGUUCUCCCACUUUAUAUUGUAAAUGAUUACAUAGUUUAUUAGUAAUUGUGUCCCCUGUCCACCCACUGGUCCAUUUGGAUGGGAAAAUUUUCAAAAUAACUUCAUAGGAAAAUGAUAAGAAAAAUGUGGUCACCGGUAUCAUCAGGAACUUCCAGACAGCUCAGCACAGAAAAGUUGGUUUUAAAGUCAUCGAAAACGUUACUGGUAAUGAGCUUCCACUCCUUUAGAGUAGUCUUUGUCCAUAGAUACACCACAGAGUAAGGUUAUAAAAAUAAAAGUUGUUUCAGGAAAUUUCCCAUUGCUUUAUUACAUGAUCAAUGAGAGUAAAGAGAAAUGGAAGCUGAAGGGAUAGGAAUGAGGGACCUGCUGGGAGAGUGAUCACAAUAUCCAAAGGAAAUUUAAAAUGCCUGUUGAAAGUGACACACUGACUCAGCAUUGUCAAUAACACAGAAUCACCACAAUAAAACUGCCCUGCCUUGUGGCUCCUGGCACCUCCUGUCUCUUUAGGUUAAGCAGAGAGAGGCCUGUGUUGCUUUGGAACAAGGUGCAGCCUCCCCCUAAGCUACAGAGAGGCUCUGAGCAAGGACCAGCCCCCAGGGUGCAGCCUUGCCCACCCUCCACAGGCUCCAGAGCAAAUGGGGUGGCUCUAGAGAGCAAAUGGUCAAAACUUCUAGCGCUAAAUAGAGCUUUAACAUGUCUCAGAUACUAGCAAAAUAGAGAAGCCUCAGAUGGCUUUAGGUCUGGAAGUGUGUUGCUAAAAAUGCUAAAAAUUUAACAAACUUUUAUAAAUCCUUAAGAGAUCUUUUUCAGUUUUGUGAAGCACCAUUAAUUGCCCAUGUGUUUCAACUUGCAGACAGGCAAGAAUUUGGCUUUGUAUGUUUAAAAAUAUGUACAUCGUGGUUCAUAAUGAUGAUUUAUUUCCAAAAUGGUGACUCGUACUAGGAUUACAUAUAAAACAUCAUAUGUGGGCCUUAUAUGUAAUAAUGUAUAAGUAUAGUAUAUUCUGACAUAACAUGGGCAGAGAUUUGUAUUAAUUUAUUUCUAUUUCAUCUAAUCAAUAUUUUACUUAAGUCUAAAACCUUAUAUAUAUAUUGACUUAUGUAUCAUCACAUAUAUAAACUUUGUAUCUAUUGAACUGAGCAAUCUGUAGUUUAUUUUAAAUUCUGAUAUGUUAAA